This 387-nucleotide unclassified non-coding RNA is filed under the name soil metagenome. RNAcentral describes it as "partial contains 5.8S ribosomal RNA, internal transcribed spacer 2, and large subunit ribosomal RNA". The stretch from base 1 to 120 matches the Rfam family "5.8S ribosomal RNA", at positions 35 to 154 of the family's 154-position model. The record is from RNAcentral.
GAUGAAGAACGCAGCGAAAUGCGAUAAGUAAUGUGAAUUGCAGAAUUCAGUGAAUCAUCGAAUCUUUGAACGCACCUUGCACCCUUUGGUAUUCCGAAGGGUAUGCUCGUUUGAGUGUCAUUGUACUCUCACACUUCUAAUUCCUUUCGGGAUUGGGAGCGGUGGACUUGGGUGUUGCUGCUUUAGUUGUGGCUCACCUCAAAUAAGUUAGUGCAACUCUUGGUUGGACACAGUACGGCGUGAUAAGUGUCUUCGCCGGCGCCUCUGUAAGGAGGGUGGCCGAUCGGGAGCUCUGUGCUUCAAACCGUCUUCGGACAAUCUUUGACAACUUGACCUCAAAUCGAGUAGGACUACCCGCUGAACUUAAGCAUAUCAAUAAGCGGAGGA